RNAcentral lists this ribosomal RNA (429 nucleotides) under Pseudomonadota bacterium. Its description in RNAcentral is "Proteobacteria bacterium partial 16S ribosomal RNA". It matches the Rfam family "Bacterial small subunit ribosomal RNA", at positions 355 to 776 of the family's 1533-position model. Lineage: Bacteria; Pseudomonadati; Pseudomonadota. The record is from RNAcentral.
UGGGGAAUAUUGGACAAUGGGCGAAAGCCUGAUCCAGCCAUGCCGCGUGUGUGAAGAAGGUCUUCGGAUUGUAAAGCACUUUAAGUUGGGAGGAAGGGCAGUAAGCGAAUACCUUGCUGUUUUGACGUUACCGACAGAAUAAGCACCGGCUAACUCUGUGCCAGCAGCCGCGGUAAUACAGAGGGUGCAAGCGUUAAUCGGAAUUACUGGGCGUAAAGCGCGCGUAGGUGGUUCGUUAAGUUGAAUGUGAAAGCCCCGGGCUCAACCUGGGAACUGCAUCCAAAACUGGCGAGCUAGAGUAGGGCAGAGGGUGGUGGAAUUUCCUGUGUAGCGGUGAGAUGCGUAGAUAUAGGAAGGAACACCAGUGGCGAAGGCGACCACCUGGGCUCAUACUGACACUGAGGUGCGAAAGCGUGGGGAGCAAACAGG